Non-coding RNA from Mycena epipterygia, 91 nucleotides. The record is from the annotation of a GenBank genome assembly. NCBI's taxonomy places the organism in Eukaryota, Fungi, Basidiomycota, Agaricomycetes, Agaricales, Mycenaceae.
GACCCAGUGGUGAAAUGAAUCACACCUGCAUUCAGUAUAACAUGCUUCCAGAGGUUAGCAGGAGAUCCCGGUUCGAGUCCGGGCUGGGUCA